UACGUAGGGUGCAAGCGUUAUCCGGAUUUACUGGGUUUAAAGGGUGCGUAGGUGGGUCUGUAAGUCAGUGGUGAAAUCUCCGAGCUUAACUCGGAAACUGCCAUUGAUACUAUAGGUCUUGAAUUAUCUGGAGGUAAGCGGAAUAUGUCAUGUAGCGGUGAAAUGCUUAGAUAUGACAUAGAACACCAAUUGCGAAGGCAGCUUACUACGGAUAUAUUGACACUGAGGCACGAAAGCGUGGGGAUCAAACAGG
RNAcentral lists this ribosomal RNA (253 nucleotides) under uncultured bacterium. Its description in RNAcentral is "partial 16S ribosomal RNA". It matches the Rfam family "Bacterial small subunit ribosomal RNA", at positions 524 to 776 of the family's 1533-position model. The record is from RNAcentral.